GUGUGUGUGUGAGCUGCUGAAGCAAUUGCAAUGAGGGGAAACCUCUCUAUUCAGAUGACGUCAAACGUUUGGAGAUAGUCGAGUGUCCUGUCCAAAGACAACGGCCCAGCAUUCACCGUGAAACCCGACUCUAGAGGGAUACGAAGUUCUCUGCAUUCCUGGUGAUGUGAGGGACAGUGUAUCACCCCAACUGGCUGCAUGCCUCAACUUCACCUGAGGUGCAGGCAAUAAGAGAAACAUGCUUUGAUCUGC
Molecule: long non-coding RNA, 252 nt
Organism: Sinocyclocheilus anshuiensis
Lineage: Eukaryota; Metazoa; Chordata; Actinopteri; Cypriniformes; Cyprinidae
Exons: 3
Source: RefSeq, a predicted model, not a curated record